AUGAACAAAAAAGAUUACACCCACAUCAAGUCUGUUCUUGACGGUGCUAUCUUUUACUACGACGCACGGGGUGGAGAGAUCAAGGACAAGAAGAAAAAGGAUGGCAGGCCCGCCUUCAGCCAUAAGACCGACUUCUGCUGCAUCCAGCAACCGAGUGAUUCUCUUAGUGAUGGAUUCUAUGUCCUACACCACAUGCUGGAGUACAUACGGGAUCAUCAGGACCUUCGCAUGUCACCUAAAUCUGGCGACGCCCAUAUUCUGCAAUGGGCAAAGAACAUAGGAGAUACCCCGGAUCAUCGACUUCAAGAUGAGUUCUAUCACAUCCAGCAUGAACUUGCCCAAGUCAUCAUGAAGGAGGUCCUCGACAAAACAGGUAUGUUCUACGAGGAAGGGCAAAUGAAGCGGGAAGACGUUCGAACACGCUUAGCCGCUCAGGGUCUCGACCUGAAGCCUUCCGCUAAGCUCGGGGACUAUCUCCCUGAGUUGGAUGGAUGGAACGACAUGUUGGAGUGA
This 513-nucleotide ribosomal RNA is filed under the name Triticum aestivum (bread wheat). RNAcentral's name for it is "partial small subunit ribosomal RNA". The record is from RNAcentral. Lineage: Eukaryota; Viridiplantae; Streptophyta; Magnoliopsida; Poales; Poaceae.